CGCCCUGGUCUCCUCCCAGUCCUUCAGAUUCCGGGGAUGCUGUUUUACUUGCCAGCCCGGGACUGAGAGGGCGAAGGAAAGAAACAGGAGAGAAUGUUGAGAACGUGGAAGAGCCAAGGGACAAGGCGGGCUGCUGGGCCGCCGGCUUGAGCCGGGACGGGACGGUGCGGCGAGAGUGACAGCGCAGGGCUGGACCCGGGACCCGGCCCUCGGUCCGCAGCCUCCCCCAGGCUGCCCGCUCUGCGCGGUUACUCGAUCCAGACCUGUUUGCACUCAUUAGAGCUGGUUUGUUUAGAUUCCACACUUCGGGGAAAGUGAGGGCGCACUCAACUGAUGGCGUGAGAACUACCGUGCCUUUGUUAUUGUUUAUGCUGAGAUGAAGUGCGCUUUAUCUCCUGUUCUUUAUUAGAGUUUGUAUAGUUUAAAUGACUGCCUAAUGCCUACCAUGGUCACCCUUCCCUUUUCAUCAAGUCCCUUACCCUGAUACAUGCCAUCCAUAAGGAUUUACACCUGAGAACAGCUGCAGCUGACUUAGUAGUCCUUCUUGCCUCGAACAAAGAAUUGAGUGAGACAAGCGAAAAAAGCAAACAAAGUUUAUGUGAAAAGCAAGGAGGGAAGAGAUGCAAAGCAUUUCAAGGCAGGCAGCGAACCACUGAGCUAAAUUCCUGGCCUUUAGAUGCAAAGUGAUUCAAAGCAGAAGAAGCACUAUUUCUCUCUUUCAGGGUACAGAGGCCCACGUGGAAGGAUUGAAGGAUGACCGAAAGAGCUAAGGAGCAGUGAUACCUGGAAAACUGAUAACAUGUUAAUAGGUACGUUGGUCCUGCAACUGUAAGGGAGUGAAUUCUGCCAGUCACAAGAGUGAGCCUGGAAGACGACCUGAAAUUCCAGAGGAAACACAGCCUGUGACUCCUUUAUUUGAUUUCGUGACACCUUGUGCGUAGAGCUCACCUGAGACUGACUGAACUUUGUAUAUAUAGAGACUCUGAGAUAAUGAAUGGAUGUUUAUAGCUCCCAUGUUUGUAGGAAAGAAAACAAAUACCGAUUUUGAUAUCAUAGGUACUACCUUAACAAACCCUUAAAAAAAGUUUUGUUUUUUGUUUUUUUGAACUCCGGUCCUUGUGCUUGCAAGGCAGGCCACCAAACUGCUGAGCUAAAUCCCCAGCCCCCCAAAAAAGGUUUUUUAAUCUGGUGGAAAACUAAUUCUAUUAGAAUUGAGAGUAUUGAAAAAGACCCAGAUUGCUUUGAAAUGACUGAGAAAUGCAAGCACUAAAAAUGUUGUUGGUGAGGGCUCAGCAGGAAGUGAGGAAAUGGUACUGGACUGGAGGAAGGAAGGUCCUUGUCAUGUAGAAGCAGGAUGCAGAGGAAAAUUGUUUCUGCAGUUAUUUAGAAAGCAGAUUUUAUAAAUGAUGAACUUGACUGCUGAGGAAAUUUCUAAGCAAAGUAUUGAAGAAGGCUAGCUUUUUCUUUUUUGCUUAUAAUAUAAUUUGAGUAGAGGCAUGAAUUGAAAAAAAAUUCAUAGGAAAAUGGAUACAUAUUGAGGAUAUACUCCUAAGUGAAAUAAAUAAGUCACACAUGUGUAAUUACCGAAUAGUUUCUCUGGUUUGAAUAGACUAUAAUAGUACAUAAGAUCCUAAUGAUAUAAUGGACAAUGUAAAAUAGUAAGAAAGGGGUUAAAGGUGUAGGGAAAGUGGGAAGGGUAGGGGAAAGCUAAUAAGGGAAAGAAAAAAAUAGGAGAAAAUGAAAAAAUGGAAAUGAAGUGUUUGUAAAGGGGGAGGGCAAGAGUGGGUGAAGGGAGGGCAGGGACAAGGGGAAAAGAUGAGAACCAAGACCUGUCAUGUAAAGGCACAGGAUCCCAAUAAUGAAUGUAACUGUACUGUAUACCUAAAAUGUACCAAUAAACUCAACGAGGAAA
RNAcentral lists this long non-coding RNA (1912 nucleotides) under Fukomys damarensis (Damara mole-rat). RNAcentral describes it as "lncRNA (ENSFDAG00000021715.1)". The record is from RNAcentral. Lineage: Eukaryota; Metazoa; Chordata; Mammalia; Rodentia; Bathyergidae.